RNAcentral lists this unclassified non-coding RNA (343 nucleotides) under soil metagenome. Its description in RNAcentral is "partial contains 5.8S ribosomal RNA, internal transcribed spacer 2, and large subunit ribosomal RNA". The stretch from base 1 to 120 matches the Rfam family "5.8S ribosomal RNA", at positions 35 to 154 of the family's 154-position model. The record is from RNAcentral.
GAUGAAGAACGUAGCGAAAUGCGAUAAGUAAUGUGAAUUGCAGAAUUCAGAGAAUCAUCGAAUCUUUGAACGCACAUUGCGCCCGCUAGUAUUCUGGCGGGCAUGCCUGUCCGAGCGUCAUUUCAACCCUCAAGCCCCCGGGCUUGGUGUUGGGGAUCGGCGAGCCUCCGCGCCCGCCGUCCCCUAAAUCUAGUGGCGGUCUCGCUGUAGCUUCCUCUGCGUAGUAGCACACCUCGCACUGGGAAACAGCGCGGCCACGCCGUUAAACCCCCAACUUCUGAACGUUUGACCUCGGAUCAGGUAGGAAUACCCGCUGAACUUAAGCAUAUCAAUAAGCGGAGGA